This is a long non-coding RNA of Numida meleagris (helmeted guineafowl), 795 nucleotides long. RefSeq lists it as uncharacterized. The record is from RefSeq and is a predicted model, not a curated record. NCBI's taxonomy places the organism in Eukaryota, Metazoa, Chordata, Aves, Galliformes, Numididae. The transcript has 3 exons.
AGCAACAAGGCAAACAGUAAAUGCAGCAAUUAGUACUGAGUGGAAGAUUUUCAUUUUCCUGCUUAUGUAUUUCCUGUCAAGGAGGAAAAUAGUCAGCUAAUUGCACAGCCUGUUACUCACAGACUUAUUUCAGACAGAGAACAGCCUUCAGCCUCACAGUGGCAAAGCCAAAUGUUUAUUGGGGUAUAUUGGGCCAUAAUAGGUGAGUAGGAAAACUUCCUUACCAUUAACUGGUUUCCUUCUUAUUAAAACAAAUAGAAUACCUUAACACAAGGCUUUAAGCAUGUAUUUCCUUCUUUGGCCUAUUUAUUUAAAAUGGAAAAGAUAUUGUGGUUUUUGUUUGUAGGGCUUUUUGUGCUUUUUUUUUUCUCCCGCAGACUAACUCAUAAAUAGAGUAAAGCUGGGAACAGCAGCUGAAAUCUAUAGGUUGUUGCUAAUUUUCCCAAACUGAGGGUCUGAUCAAUGCAGUGUAUAAGCAGCACCUUCAGCAGCCACUUGCUAGAGCUCUGUUUGCUGAAAGAUACAAAAGCCUUCUUGCAUGCUGCUGCUACCAGUGCUGCCGCAUACAUCACCCAAAUAUGUAACUGGAGACCCAUGAAGUGACUGCGGAGGGGAGAAGCAAACUAAUGAGCUGGUUUCACUAAGGACCCAGGGAGCUGAUGGUUAUGGGGAGCCACCAGAUGGUGAACUGGACCUGCUCCGUGGUCUCCAGUAUAUUCUGUGAAAUUCUUCAGGGAUCCUUUGCCACGUGAUAAAGUGAAGCCAAGGUUCAGUUUGACAUCUGUUUUUGUAGGC